This is a long non-coding RNA of Megalobrama amblycephala (Wuchang bream), 1463 nucleotides long. RefSeq lists it as uncharacterized. The record is from RefSeq and is a predicted model, not a curated record. NCBI's taxonomy places the organism in Eukaryota, Metazoa, Chordata, Actinopteri, Cypriniformes, Xenocyprididae. The transcript has 2 exons.
AAAGAAUGACGGUUCUCGUGUGUCCGAGCUGAAGUCUAGUGAUAAUUGGGAUCUGUUGUUCUAGGAAUAUCCACUAGAUGGUACUGUGGUAACUCAUUUUGUUUCUAUUUACAGUCAGCGCUUCGAAAUGGCCUAAAAUCUUCCCUUCACUUUUGAACAGAAUAUUUCAUUCUAUCACAGUCCUGUUGAAGCAUUAUCAAACAGCAUGGGGAAUCAGAAACUAAACGUAUUAAUUAGUUUGUAAAUGAGAUAAAACAAAUGCGAGUAAGAACAAGCUCAGACAAGCUCAAUGCAAUUGAGAGUCAAUUGUCAAACACAUUUUAUGGCAUUUAAUACUUAUGAAUAGAAAUACAUUUCUUAUUUGAGAGCUUUGACCCUUAUCACAGAGAUGCGUUUUGUCAUUCUGGCCUCCAACACCACGACUGAAUUAUUGUUUUUAUUCUAGGGGUCAGUUCAUUGCACAGAUUAGCAUUAGCCGACAAACCCACAGUAAUGGAUUUCUCCCAUCACGGGGCAUAAAUGAUGAUUCUUUUUUCAUUUGUGGACGAUAACUCCAUCUAGCACAGAUGCCAAUGAAAAUUACAGCCUUCUCUUGAGCGACUGAACUACGCUGAUGUUUUGAUGCAUCCUUGCACGUCGACGGCCGUGAUUGAGGUAGAUUGUCUAGGACCUGCUGCUUUUCCCUGAUAUGGUCGGGAGAGCAAGAGAGUACGGUGCAGAGGAGGGAGGGCCGUCUGCCCUCCACGGCCCUGUAUCUCCUCCCGCCACAGGACUACCUCACGCCCAGGCUUGUUUGCGGGAUUGGCACUAAUUCAGCAGCGCCAGCGUCUGACCUCAGCGGCAGCGGCGCUCCGAGCUCCGAGAAGACCCAAGGCGAUUCGAGGGAUUCACCUCAACUGGGGAGGGGAGGGACGGCUGGCGCUGGUGGCAUCACCUUGCAACCCCCUGUCAAUCUACCACCUUUCAUCAGCUGAGAAGGACAGAGGGGUGUAGGCGGAAAAAAACGGAGGAAAAGUACUGUUUAUUUUUUAACAGGACUGUUAAUCUAUUUGGACUGGGGUAAUAGAACAUUUGCCUGGCACCUGCAGAGAGCCGUCUGCGGGAACGCAGGGUUGUGACAUUCCCCCUAAAUAUGCUGAGCUUUCUCUCACCUCUCAUCAAACAGUGUGAUCUUUAUGGACUGUAUCAUAUUGUGCCGUAAUGUGCUUUAUUGUCCACAGAAUAAGCUUUUCUUAAAGGUAAUUGGAAACCUGGAAAUGGCUGCUAUCGGCUGAUUUUUAAAUACAUUAUUUCUGAAAUGUGGCCUGGGUAAUGACCCUGUCGGUGUAAAAUGUAAGAUUUAUCUUGGCAGACAAAAUUGAUCCAUUUCACCUUUGUCUAAUGGAAAUUUUUAUCAGGGAUUAUCUGUUUAUGUAAAUGAGCGUUGCCCUGGAACAGGGAAAUAAAAGGAGCUUGAGAGGGCA